GAUAUUCUUAUUUAAUCACAUGAUUUUUUAAGGAAAGGUCAGGCGAACUAAGAUGGGCUCGCGUUAUAUCAGCUAGUUGGUAGGAUAAUGGACUUGCGGGGCUACGACGGAUAGCUGGUCUGAGAGGACGAUCAGCCACACUGGGACUGAUACACGGGCCAGACUCCUACGGGAGGCUGCAGCAGGGAAUAUUGGGCAAUGAGCGAAAGCUUGACGCAGCGACACCGCGUGUGGGAUGACGGAUCUAG
This 248-nucleotide ribosomal RNA is filed under the name uncultured bacterium. Its description in RNAcentral is "partial 16S ribosomal RNA". It matches the Rfam family "Bacterial small subunit ribosomal RNA", at positions 172 to 420 of the family's 1533-position model. The record is from RNAcentral.